RNAcentral lists this RNase P RNA (354 nucleotides) under Nanobdellota archaeon. RNAcentral describes it as "RNase P RNA component". It matches the Rfam family "Archaeal RNase P". From Rfam's summary of the family: Ribonuclease P (RNase P) is a ubiquitous endoribonuclease, found in archaea, bacteria and eukarya as well as chloroplasts and mitochondria. Lineage: Archaea; Nanobdellati; Nanobdellota. The record is from RNAcentral.
GUAGGCAGGUAGCUCAUAAGGAUUGACAACUAUUUAUAGUUUUAAAUCUUAGGAAAGUCCACCCACCACAAUAGGUCGCCCAUUGGGUUCGUGAAAGCGAAGGCAACCGUCCAGAAACGACACGUCCUUGGAAUAAGAUGAUGAUCCUCAGAAAUUGCAAGAUUUCUGGGAUGCUAGGAAUCUCUGAUUCCUCCGCAUGGCGAAGUUUUCCGCAAGGGAAAUGAGUUAACCCUUUGAUGUUUUCCAAGGGAUCGAUGAAACGUGUGAGCCCCGACUGGUGCAAGUCAUUAUGACGCUAAGUUGAAUUUGAGCACUUCCAUAUGGAAGGACAGAAGGUGGCUUAUUCCUGUCUAC